UGCGGUGAUGAUGGCACGAAGGAUACACCUGUUCCCAUUCCGAACACAGAAGUUAAGCUUCGUAACGCCGAGAGUAGUUAGAGGAACGCCUCUUGCGAGGGUAGGAANGGUCACAGGUU
This 119-nucleotide ribosomal RNA is filed under the name Ligilactobacillus salivarius. The record is from RNAcentral. Lineage: Bacteria; Bacillati; Bacillota; Bacilli; Lactobacillales; Lactobacillaceae.